GAUGAACGCUGGCGGCGUGCCUAAUACAUGCAAGUCGAGCGAACAGACGAGGAGCUUGCUCCUAUUACGUUAGCGGCGGACGGGUGAGUAACACGUGGAUAACCUGCCUUUGAGACUGGGAUAACUUCGGGAAACCAGAGCUAAUACCGGAUAAUAUCUUGAACCGCAUGGUUCAAUAGUGAAAGACGGUUUUGCUGUACCUAAAGGUGGUAUCCGGGUCGAAUUGGUUAGUUGGUAAGGUAACGGCUUACCAAGGCAACGAUGCGUAGCCGACCUGAGAGGUUGAUCGGCCACACUGGAACUGAGACACGGUCCAGACUCCUACGGGAGGCAGCAGUGGGGAAUCUUCGACAAUGGGCGAAAUCCUGACGGAGCAACGCCGCGUGGGUGAUGAAGUUCUUCGGAUCUUAAAACUCUGUUAUUAGGGAGGAACAAAUGUGUAAGUAAAUCUGCACGUCUUGACGGUACCUAAUCAGAAAGCCACGGCUAACUACGUG
RNAcentral lists this ribosomal RNA (497 nucleotides) under uncultured bacterium. Its description in RNAcentral is "partial 16S ribosomal RNA". It matches the Rfam family "Bacterial small subunit ribosomal RNA", at positions 28 to 507 of the family's 1533-position model. The record is from RNAcentral.